GGUCGGGCUCGCCGAGGUGGGCCGGGGCUCGGGUCCCCGGCGGGCCGGGUUCGCUGAGGUGGGCCGGGGCUCAGGUCCUCGGCGGGCCG
RNAcentral lists this transfer RNA (89 nucleotides) under Streptomyces fumanus. Its description in RNAcentral is "tRNA-Pro(cgg)". Lineage: Bacteria; Bacillati; Actinomycetota; Actinomycetes; Kitasatosporales; Streptomycetaceae. The record is from RNAcentral.